RNAcentral lists this ribosomal RNA (432 nucleotides) under Escherichia coli. RNAcentral describes it as "bacterial SSU rRNA". It matches the Rfam family "Bacterial small subunit ribosomal RNA", at positions 171 to 598 of the family's 1533-position model. The record is from RNAcentral. Lineage: Bacteria; Pseudomonadati; Pseudomonadota; Gammaproteobacteria; Enterobacterales; Enterobacteriaceae.
GCAUAACGUCGCAAGACCAAAGAGGGGGACCUUCGGGCCUCUUGCCAUCGGAUGUGCCCAGAUGGGAUUAGCUAGUAGGUGGGGUAACGGCUCACCUAGGCGACGAUCCCUAGCUGGUCUGAGAGGAUGACCAGCCACACUGGAACUGAGACACGGUCCAGACUCCUACGGGAGGCAGCAGUGGGGAAUAUUGCACAAUGGGCGCAAGCCUGAUGCAGCCAUGCCGCGUGUAUGAAGAAGGCCUUCGGGUUGUAAAGUACUUUCAGCGGGGAGGAAGGGAGUAAAGUUAAUACCUUUGCUCAUUGACGUUACCCGCAGAAGAAGCACCGGCUAACUCCGUGCCAGCAGCCGCGGUAAUACGGAGGGUGCAAGCGUUAAUCGGAAUUACUGGGCGUAAAGCGCACGCAGGCGGAUUGUUAAGUCAGAUGUGAA